UGGAGUGUAGCUCAGUGAUAGAGGACUUGUCUGUUGUGCAUGAGGCCCUGGGUUUGAUUCCCAGCACCAU
Molecule: non-coding RNA, 70 nt
Organism: Ictidomys tridecemlineatus (thirteen-lined ground squirrel)
Lineage: Eukaryota; Metazoa; Chordata; Mammalia; Rodentia; Sciuridae
Source: Rfam